Non-coding RNA from Camellia sinensis, 104 nucleotides. The record is from RefSeq and is a predicted model, not a curated record. NCBI's taxonomy places the organism in Eukaryota, Viridiplantae, Streptophyta, Magnoliopsida, Ericales, Theaceae.
AAUGCUAUGAUGAGAUGAGACACCAUUUGGUGUUUUAUAGGGCAGUGGAAGAUGUAUCUCCGUGAGCCCCAUUCUAUAAACGACUUCUCCUUCCACUGAGCACU